UGGUAGUGAAAUUCCAUGCAAUGCCGGUAAUGAUGUUGCACACUUUUCAGACACCGAGGAAAAUCCUGAAGAAUCGGCAUUUCAAGAAAAAACUGAAGAAUCAGUCAUUGAACAGCAACCUGAUGUACCAGCAGUUAAGGAGAAACCUGAAGAACCAACACUUGAGGAGAAAACUGAAGUACUAGUUGAGGAGAAACCUCAAGAACCGGCGUCUAAAGAGAGACCUGAAGAAGCGGCAGCUAAAGAAACAGCUGAAGAGCUAGCAAAGGAGGAAGCACCUGAAGAACUAGCACUUGAAGAGAAACCUGAAGAAUCAACAGUUGAAGAGACACCUGAAGAACUAGUUCUGGAAGAGAAAGAUGAAAAAACAGCUAUUAAAGAGAAGGAGCUUGUUAGAAAAGCUCUUCAGGAGAAGGUGAGGAUUGAAUACUGUCACAAAGUUAAUCCACCAUAUAAGCUUUAUAUGUGCAACAAAUUAAUAUAUGUUUAUCUAUUUAAAGACAAAAUGGAACUUUAAAUUUUCUUGCAGAAAUUGUCGAUUGUAAACGCAGAGGAUAAUAUAGACAAUGCAAUUCCAUGCAAUACCAACAAUGACAUUGCUGACUAUGCAUUAGUUGAGGAAAAAAUUGAAGAACCAGUAGUUGAAGAGAAAUCUGAAGAAUCAAGGAUUUUGGAGAAAUCAGAAGAACCUGCGGUUGAGAAAAUUCCUGAACAGCCGACAAUUGAAGAGAAACCUGAAACCCAACAGUUGGAGGAGAAAAGCUUGAAGAACCAUUGGUUGGAGAGACGACCGAAGAACCGACAAUUGAGGAGAAACCUGAAAAAACAGCAACUGAAGAAACACCUAAGGAACCAUCAUUUGAAGAGAAACAUGACGAACCAACCGUUGAAGAGGAGAAACCUGAAAAGGUAACUCUUUUGGAAAAGGUAAGGGUCAAGUACAAUAACAAAGUUAGUACAUUUUGUUAGUGAUGCAUGAACUGUAAUUCACAUGCUCUUUUUUUGAAAGGCUAAGUGAAACAUUAAAUACUAUUUGCAGGAUAUGCUAAUUGUAGACUCGAAGACCAAAACUUGCAGUGAAAUUCCAUCCAACACCAAUAAUGAUGUUGCUCACUCUCCAGACAUCGAGAAAAACCCUGAAAAAUUGGCAGUUGAAAUAAAAAAUGAAGAACCAGUCAUUGAAGAGAAACCUGAUGUACCAGCAGUUGAGGAGAAACCUGAAGAAUCAAAAUUUGAGGAGAAAUCUGAAGUACCAGCUGAGGAGAAACCUCAAGAACCGGCGGCUGAAGAGAAACCUGAAAAAACAGUAGCUAUAGGAACAGCUGAAGAACUAGCACUUGAAGGGAAACCUGAAGAACUAACGGUUGAAGAUACAUCUGAAGAGCUACUUGUCGAAGAGAAAGAUGAAAAACCAGCAAUUAAAGAGGAGGAACCUGAAACGGAAGCUCUUCAGGAGAAGGUGACAAUUAACACUGUCACAAAGUUUAUUCAGCAUAUUAACAUUAUAAGUGCAACGAAUGUACAUAUGUUUUAUCUAUUAAAAGACUAAAUGGAACUUCAAAUUUUCUUGCAGAAUUUGCCAAUUGUAAACUCAAAGAACACAACAGACAAUGCAUAUCCAUACAAUACCAACAAUGACAUUGCUGACUAUGCAUCAGUUGAGGAAAAACUGAAGAGGCAGAAGUUGAAGAGAUAUCUGAAGAAUCAUCUAUUGAAGAGAAAUCUGAAGAAUCAAGGGUUUUGGAGAAACCAGAAGAACCAUCGGUUGAGAAAAUACCUGAAAAACCGACAAUCGAAGAGAAACCUGAAACAUCAACCGUGGGAGAAAAGUUUGAAGAACCAUCAGUUGAGGAGACGAUCAAAGAACCAAAAAUUGAGGAGAAACCUGAAAAACAAGUAACUGAAGAAACACCCAAGGAACUAGCGUUAGAAGAGAUACAUAAAGAACCAGCAAUGAAAGAGGAGAAACCUGAAAAGGUAACUCUUUUGGAAAAGGUAAGGGUCAAGUACUAUCACAAAGUUAAUCCAUUUUGUUAGUUAUGCAUGUACAGUGAUUCACAUGCUCUUCUUUUGAAAGGCUAAGUGAAACAAUAAAUUCUUUUUGCAGAAUAUGCUAAUUGUGGACUCAAACACCAAAACUGGCAGUGAAAUUCCAUGCAAUACCAAUAAUGAUGAUGCUCACUCCCCAGACAUUGAGGAAAAUCCUGAAGAAUCGGCAGUUGAAAUAAAAAAUGAAGAACUAGUCAUUGAAGAGAAACCUGAUGUACCAGCAGUUGAGGAGAAACCUCAAGAACCAACAUUUGAGGAGAAAUCUGAAGUACCAGCUGAGGAGAAACCUCAAGAACCUGCGACUGAAGAAAAACCUCAGGAACCGGCAGCUAUAGAAACACCUGAACUAGCACUUGAAGAGAAACCUGAAGAACCAACGGUUGAAGAUACAUCUGAAGAGCUAGUUGUUGAAGAGAAAGAUGAAAAGCCAGCAAUUGAAGAGGAGGAACCUGAAAUGGAAGCUCUUAAGGAGAAGGUGGGAAUUAACACUCACAAAGUUUAUUCAGCAUACUAGCUUUAUAUGCGCACGAAUUUACAUAUGUUUAUCUAUUGAAAGACUAAAUGAAACUUCAAAUAUUCUUGCAGAAUUUUCCAAUUGUAAACUCAAAGAACACAAUAGACAAUGCAAUUCCAUGCAAUACAAACAAUGACAUUGCUGACUUCACAUCAGUUGAGGAAAAAACUGAAGAACCAAUAGUUGAAGAGAUAUCUGAAGAAUCGGCAAUUGAAGAAAAAUCUGAAGAAUCAAGGGUUUCGGGGAAACCAGAAGAACCAGCGGUUGAGAAAAUACCUGAACAACCGACAGUUGAAAAGAAACCUGAAAAACCAACCGUGGGAGAAGAGUUUGAAUUACCAUCAGUUGAGGAGACAAUCGAAGAACCAAAAAUCGAGGAGAAACCUGAAAAACAAGUAAUUGAAGAAACACCCAAGGAACUAGCAGUUGAAGAGAUGCAUGAAGAAACAGCCGUGGAAGAGGAGAAACCUGAAAAGGUAACUCUUUCGGAAAAGGUAAGGGUCAAGCACUAUCACAAAGUUAAUCCAUUUUGUUAGUUAGUAUGUACUAUGACUCACAUCUGCGUCUUUAUUGAAAGACUAAGUGAAACAAUAAAUUCUUUUUGCAGAAUAUGCUAAUUGUAGACUCAACUGAAAAAACCGGCAGUGAAAUCCCAUGCAAUACCAAUAAUGAUGUUGAAUACUCUCCAGACAGUGAGGAAAAUCCUGAAGAAUCGGCAGUUGAAGAAAAAACUGAAGAACCACUCAUUGAAGAGAAACCUGAUGUACCAGCUAUUAAGGAGAAACCCAAAGAACCAACAUUUGAGGAGAAAUCUGAAGUACCAGUUGAGGAGAAACCUGAAGAACUAGAGAUGACAGAGAAACCUGAAGAACCAGCGGCUAUAGAAACACCUGAAGAGCUUGCAGGGCAGGAAAUACCUGAAGAACUAGACCUUGAAGAGAAACCUGAAGAACCAACAGUUGAAGACACAUCUGAAGAACUAGUUGUUGAAAAGAAAGAUGAGAAACCAGCAAUUGAAGAAGAAGAACCUGAAACGGAAGCUCUUCAGGAGAAGGUGACAAUUAAACACUGUCACAAAUUAUCCAUCAUAUUAGCUUUAUAUGUGCAAUGAAUUUACAUAUGUUUAACUGUUGAAAGACUAAAUAAAACUUAAAUUUUUCUUGCAUAAUUUGUCAAUUGUAAACUCAAAGGACAAGACAGACGAUGCAAUUCCAUGCAAUACCAACAACGACAUUGCUGACUAUGCAUCAGCUGAGGAAAAAAUUGAAGAGCCAGUAGUUGAAAAUAAACAUGAAGAACAAGCAAUUGAAGAGAAAUCAGAAGAAACAGCAAUUCCGGAGAAGCCAGAAGAACCAGUGAAUGAGAAAAAACCUGACUCUCUGGCAAUUGAAGAGAAACCUAAAGAAACAACAGCGGAAAAGAAGCUUAAAGAACCAUUGGUUGAGGAGAUUGAGGAGAAACCUGCAAAACCAAUAACUGAAGAAGCACCUGAAGAACCAAAAUGGGAAGAAACACCUGACGGUCUAUUAUUUGAAGAGAGACCAGCACUUGAAGAGGAGACAUCCAAAAAGGUAGCUCUUUUGGAAAAGGUGAGGGUCAAGCACUGUCACAAAGUUUAUACAUCUUAUUAGUUAUGUAUGUACAAUGAUGCACAUCUGCUUCUUCAUUGAUAGACUAAGUGAAACAUUAAAUUCUUUCGUAGAAUUUGUUAGUUGUAGACUCAAACGACAAAACUGGCAGUGGAACUCCAUGCAAUACCAAUAAUGAUGUUGCUCACCCUCCACAAGUUGAGGAAAAUACUGAAGACUCAGUAGUUGAAGAAAAAACUGAAGAACCAGCUAUUGAAGAGAAACUUGAUGUACCAGUGGUUAAGGAGAAACCUGAAGAACCAGUGGUUGAGGAGGAACCUCAAGAACCAGCGGCUAAAGAAGCACCUGAAGAGCUAGAAGGGGAGGAAAUACCUGAAGAAUUAGCACUUGAAGAGAAAACUGAAGAACCAACGGUUGAAAAGACACCUAAAGAAAUAAUUGUUGAAGAGGAGAAACCUGAAACAGAAGCUCUUCUAGAGAAGGUUAGGAUUAAGCAUUGUCACAAAGUCUAUUCAUCAAAUUAGCUGUAUACGUGCAACGAAUUUACAACGAAUUUACAUAUGUUUAUCUAUUUAAAUACUAAGUAGGACUCUAAAUUUCUUGCAGAAUUUGCCAAUGGAAGACCCAAAGGACAAGAUAGAUAAUGCAAUUCCUUGCAAUACCAACAAUGAUAUUGCUGACUAUGAAUCCGUCGAGGAAAAACCUCAAGAACUAGUAGUUGAAAAAGAACAUGAUGAAACAAUGAUUGAAGAAGAAUCUGAAGUAUUGGCUGUUAUGGAGAAGCCUGAAGAACCAGCGGUUGAGAAAAACCUUGAAGAACUGGCAGUUGAAGAAGAAUGUGAAAAACCAACUGUGGAGGUGAAAUUUGAAGAACCAUCGGCUGAGGAGAACUACAAGAACCAAUGGUUGAAGUGAAACCUGAAAAGACAAUAACUGAAGAGACACCCAAAGAAUCAGCACGGGAAGAAAACACCUAAUGAACUAGCAUGUGAAGAAAAAGCUGAAGAACCAGCAGUUGAAGAGGUGAAACCUGAAGAACCAACAGGUGAAGAAGAAAAACCUGAAAAGGUAACUCUUUUGGAUAUGGCAAGGAUCAAGCACUGUCAUAAAGUUCAUCUGUCCUAUUAGUUGUGUAUGUACAACAAUUUACAUCUGCUCAUCUAUAAAAGACUAAGUGAAACUUCCAAUUCUUAUUACAGAAUUUGCUAGUUGCAGACUCGAAGGAAAAAACUGACAGUAAAAUUCCCUGCAAUUCUAGCAAUGAUGCUGCUCAGUUUUUAGAAGAUGAUAAAAACCCUGAAAAACCAGCCGCCGUGAAAAAACUGGUUAUUGAAGAGAAACUUGAUAUACCAGCAAUUAUGGAGAACCUGAAGAACCAACAAUUGAGGAGAAAUCUGAAGAACCAGUUGAGGAGAAACCUAAAGAACCAACUGUUGAAGAGAAACUUGAAGAACCAACAACUAAAGAAACACAUGAAGAGCUAGCAGGGGAGGAAGCACCUGAAGAACUACCACUUGAACAGAAACCUGAAGAACCAAUAGUUGGAGAGACCUCUGAAGAGAUAGCUUUCGAAGAGAAACAUGACAAACCAGCAAUUGAAGAGGAGAAACCAGAAAUGGAAACUUUCCUAGAGAAGGUGGGGAUAAAACAGUGUCACAAAGUUUAUCCAUUCUAAUAGCUUUACAUUGCAACGAACUCACUUAUGCCAAUCUAUUAGAAGAUUAAAUCAAAUUUGAACUUCUCUUGCAGAAUAUGCCAAUUAUCGACUCAAAGGACAAGAAUGACAGUGAAAUUCUAGGCAAUUCAAACAACGAUGUUGCUUACUAUCCAACAGUUGAAGAUAAAGCUGAAGUACAGGUAGUCAAAGAAAAACAUGAAAAACAAGUGAUUGAAGAGAAAUGUGAAGAACCAGCGGUUGAUGAAAAAACUGAUGAACCAGCAGUGACAGAGAAACCUGAAGAACCACCGGCUGUGGAAAAAGAAACUGAAGAACAAGUCCUCGAGGAGAAACUUGAAGAACCAACA
This 6177-nucleotide long non-coding RNA is filed under the name Solanum lycopersicum (tomato). RNAcentral's name for it is "long non-coding RNA (SLYC_LNC001216)". The record is from RNAcentral. Lineage: Eukaryota; Viridiplantae; Streptophyta; Magnoliopsida; Solanales; Solanaceae.